UGACAGUUUAAUAAACAUAGUUUGAUGGAAGUGCCGAGUCGAAUUCUGACUUUAUUUAUAGUUACAGCAGAUUUUCGGUGUCCUUGUGUGGGUGACAGGUCCGACUGUAUUCCGAUUGGCUCCAAAACUUAUACUUGUCGGACGCAGACGAGAAGCGGAGAAAAAAUCCAUCAAUCCUUCAGGAAUCUUCAUCGUCUUCGGUUUUCCUCCGUAGAAGUCCUCAAGAAAAAAAGAUGGCCGACAAAGAAGGAAUGAGUUUGGUUGUUAAUUAUGUAGUUUUGAUCGUCCUCCUACUUAUACUAUGGGUUCUCUAUACCGGGUUGUAAAAUGAUAAUUCGUCAGUUUUUAAAGAAUGAAGAAGGACAAUCGAGCCUUUUUCAAGUACGGAUUCAAGGAAUGGAUGCAAAAAUGAGGGAGAGCCAAGAAUAGGAUUCUUGAUUUUUCGUACGGAUAUGGAAAAACCUGAACGGUUAAGAUUCUAUCGAAUUUGGAUAAAAAAAA
This is a long non-coding RNA of Centruroides sculpturatus (bark scorpion), 501 nucleotides long. RefSeq lists it as uncharacterized. The transcript has 3 exons. Lineage: Eukaryota; Metazoa; Arthropoda; Arachnida; Scorpiones; Buthidae. The record is from RefSeq and is a predicted model, not a curated record.